CGCCAUAUAUUUUCCUAUUUUUUAUUUUCUGAUUUUAAUUUCUUUUAUUUUCUUUUAUUUCCUUUUAUUUCAAAAAACCAUACCUCUCUCAUUUUAAUUCCAAAAACUAUGGAACCAAUUGCAUUAUUUUCCUUUUAAUUUCUAGUUUCUAAAAAUGAUUUUUAAUAUUUUUUACUUUGUCAUUUGAUAUUUUUUGUGAAUUUUCUCUUUUCUGGUUAUUUUUAAUUCAUUUUAAAUAGUUUCCA
Molecule: long non-coding RNA, 245 nt
Filed under: Lathyrus oleraceus (garden pea)
Lineage: Eukaryota; Viridiplantae; Streptophyta; Magnoliopsida; Fabales; Fabaceae
Description: Pisum sativum (pea) long non-coding RNA (PSAT_LNC016202)
Source: RNAcentral